CGACGUAGUGCUUCGUCCCCGUCUGGAGACAAACGUGACGGAGGUUUGGCGCGUGAGGGACAAUUGCUCGGAGGACGUUACGGAGCAUUGCGCCGUUAGCUUCGCAGUUCUCGCUCUCAGAUUCGCGGUUGGUCCAGGUGACGUAGAAGACGUGUGUGACGUCGGUUAAAGUGGAAAUCUUGGAUCUUGUUUCUUCGGCGUCGGAGACAUCGCACUGGAUGUAAUCGAUCGGAUGAUCGGCGUUCCAGUUGGGACGAGGACGGCGAGCGACGCCGUAGACUUUCCAGGGACCGCCGGGGGUGUCGGAAAGAGGGAGAAUCUCCGCCAAGCUGUUACCGACGAUUCCUGUGACGCCGAUGAUGAGAGCGACACUUUCGUAGCUUUGCGUUGGCUCAUCUUCAUCGAGUUUCUUCUGCGAUAACACAAAAUGAAAAAGAAAGAGAGAAGAUUAAUACUUCCUCAGUUCCAUUUUAUGAUUUGGUUAAAAGCACAACACUGGUCAUAACCAAUUAAAAUAAUAUAAAUUAUGCAUAGAAAAUUAAAAAUAAAAAAUAAAAAAAUGGAACAAAUGAAAAAUGUUAAAAACGCUAAUACUUUGGAACGGAGAGAGUACUAAUCAGUGACUAUUAUCAAUUAAGAUGAUGAUCAAUGAUGAAUCAGGGGUUGAGUUGAAUUUUACCUUGGCAGCUCCGAUGGCACCAGCCCACCACCAACUCAUUAUCCUCGAUUUCUGAUUUACAAGAGGCUAAAGAGAUGUGUUUGUGGCUAAGACAGCCGUGUGGGGGUCGUCUCUUUUGAGUGUUUUGUAGUCAUCUUCUAUAGGGAAAGAUAAAUAUCUGUGUAAGCUAAACUGGUCAUCUAUCUUACAAAAUCUCGAGUCAAAUAAAUUUGUCUUGGAAACGAUUUUCUUACCACAAAACCAGUUUAAGCAAUAUAAUCACGAGUCAACUCAACUCUGCUUUAUUUAUAAAUUUUAUAUAUAUAUUUGAAAAUGCUUUCGUAGGAAUCAACAAGUCAAAAAAAGCGUGAAACUGAACCCACAAUCUAAAGGCCAUAACUACUAGUCUACUACUAGAUGACAGGUUUUGUAUAACCGAUAUUGAAAUUUCAUUUUCUUUCACAAAUCUGGCAACUAAACAAUAUUGAAAAUUCACAAUUGUGUAAUUUUCUAAGGGAAUAAUGUCAAACUAAUCGUGAACUUCCUAUGAAAAAAAAACAUGAAUUUUUGAAAUAUUAUGUAAAUCUGAAAAUUUAGUGAGUUUAUGGUAAGAUGGUCAAGUCUCGUUUACCAAAUCAUUUUACACACAACGUUAAGUUUCUGGUAAUAAAAAAUAUACCAUAAUCAAAUUAUCCAGAUGAAAAAUUUCUUACUUUAUGGACCUUUGGAUUCAAAUAAGAGGAAUACCUUUGCCGUAUGUAUAUGAAAGGACUGUUAGAUUUUAUUGCUAACACUCUUGGGGAAGUUCUUGAUCUGGAUUUCGAUGAAGAAACUACAAUGCAUAUUGUAUUUUUUCGAUUCAAAGUAAAAAUUGAAAUUAUAGACAUAUUUCGUUUCUUUCGAAGAAUUAUGUUUUCAUCUGGAAAAGGAGCUACGGUUGGUUUUGAAUAUGAAAAACUCAGAAAAAUCAACCAUCAACAUAGAUCACGCUACGGUUGGUGGGUUCUCAAGCUAAAGCCAAGUAUGAGAUUGGAGAGAGUUCUAAAAGAAUGAAAGGCAGGCAAUCAACAUAGAUCACGCUAGGGACACUCGCCAAUGUAGAAAAGAGCUUGGAGUUAAGUUUUACCUGGUAACUCGAGACCCUCCAUGAAUUUCUCUACAAGAACAAAACAGCUCAGAGACAGUUUUGGUUUUGGUCUCUGAGAAAAACUCCACUGGAGAAGUUUUUUUUUUAAAUAGAAUAAAAAAAACUCAUAGAUCACAAGUUGGUUGCUCCUGGUUUACUUUUUGAUUGUAGCUUUAUUGGGAUGAAGGAAGAUCGGGAAUAGGAGUCUUGUAAGAUCUUCAACUACUUUUUAAAGAUAUUCUGUUACUAAUUCUCAUAAGGAUGGAGAGAUGAUGUGUAAGAACUUAGGCCAUCAUUAUUGAUGGUCUUAUCAUAGCUUGGGUAAAUGAUAAACGCUCUAAAACAAAGAUUGGAAGUAUGGUCUUAUUGGGAAUGUUAUGAAGAUUGCUCGGUUUUUACCAUCUUACAUCUGUUUGCAUUGGUAGUUCAAUGUUGGUUUAGUAUGUUGGUGUUCUAAUUGUAACUUCAAUUGUGUUGUUUUUUCAUGUUUUAACUUAAAAAUGGUGUGGUAAUGGUCUUGUAAACUUAGCUUUUCUAAAAUGGAUUCUCCAUUGAUGGAAAAUGCUGUAGGGACAUUUUUCUCAAUUUUCUAAUCUUAUAAAUUUUGUAUGCGAAGACUGAAGUAGAUCGGUCAUACAAAAAAUAUAUGUAAAAAUGUAGAAAUGUAGAAAUGUAAAAUGGGAAAAAUGUCAUAAAAAUCCCAAACUUUCAAAUUUGAGACGAUUUAAUCCCGAACUUUAAAGAAGUCAUUUUAAUCACAAAGUUUUGUUGUCUUUUCCGUAAAAUAGCUAUGUUUUGUUGACUUAGCCGAUUUAAACACGACGUUUAGUUUCUCUUAAAAUUGCAAAGACGGGGUUAACUGUCCGUGAGUUGCUUCCGUUUCAAACCACAAAACGACAUCGUUUAACAAACUGAUUAAACUAAAUCCCAAAAUCGAUUCACAGUUCACAAAUCUAACUCCCUAACCCUAGAAAAAUCCACAAAUUCUCUUUACUUCUUGAAUUGUUGCCAUAGCGCAGAUCCCUGGGGAAGAAAACGACUUCCAACGUCGUUUUGUCGUCUAAGAAAUAUGGUCAUUUAGGCUAAACAGAAGCAUAUCACAGAUAGUUAACCACAUCUUCAAAUUUUUAACAAAAAAAUAAAUUUCAUGCUUAAAUAAGUGAAGUCAACAAAACUUAGCUAUUUUACGGAAAAGUCAACAAAACUUUGUGCUUAAAAUGACUUCUUUUAAGUUCAGGAUUAAAUCGUCCCAAAUUUGAAAGUUCAGGAUUUUUAUGACAUUUUUCCCAAUGUAAAAUUAGGUGCAACUUUGGGUUGUGGAGAGUGUAUGCGUAAUAGUGUAUUACAUCAUCCUCACCCAAUGAUUUAGGUCUUUCAUUCGAUCCUUUCGGUUAAAGGAAGCUGAUUAUAUAGAUUUGCCAUCAAAACUCCAGAGAGAGAGAGAGGUUCCAUUAAAGAGAAAAUAUAACUUUGUCAUCUAUUCCAAAAGGCAACCAUAGGGUUUACAAGACUAGAUAUGGAAUAUUCAAAAACAGGAAAGGGCGAAUCCGCUUUUAUUUCAAUUUUUAGAAGACAACAAACGAACUGAGAUUUUGGGAGAAACAGAACAUGUAACCAGAGAACUAUCCAAAGUAAGUUUUGGAAUCAAGGAACGAUCUUAAAAGCCUUGUACUUAUCAAUCCAAGAGAUGAAAGAGUUGUUGGAGUUCCUAAAACCAAGGAAGCCAUGUUCCUUACUCUUGUUCAUACUAUCAAUCAUUCCUUCAACUCCAAGCAUAACAUCCGCAAACCACCACACACCAACUUCGUCAAGCUUCUUCUCCUGCAACUGGUUCUCCUUAACCAUCUCCUCCCACACUCUCUCUUUCCCUUUCAUCAUCUCCAUCAAACCCAAAUUCUUCCCUUCCUCAAAUCCAUACUCCUCAAUCCCAAACUGCUCAGCAAGAAUCUUCCACAGAUGCUUCCACUUGAAGAUAUCCGCAUUGUUGCAGUUAAACGCCUCGUUCUUCGCAUACGGAUCAACCGCAGCCCAAAUCUGCUGCUCAGCUAUCAAAUCCGCGUCCGAAGCCGUCGUGAACCCUUCCCACGCCUUCUUGCUCCCAGGAAACAUCAAAGGAGACCCUUCAUGCUUACAAAUGGCAGCAUAAACACAAAGAGUCCCAACUAUGUUCAUCAAACUGUAAGGAGAGAACCCAAAGAUCACGUUCGGUCUAUGUAUGGACCACGUAACACUUUCUUUCUUCUUGAUCUCUUCAAACAGAACAUCCUCUUGAGUGUAGUAGAAAUUCUGGAUCUGCAAUCUCGGCAUAUCCUCUGUAAAAGGCGGAUCGUGAUGAGGUCCGUCGCGGUUGCUGAAAGGGCCGACGUAGUGCUUCGUCCCCGUCUGGAGACAAACGUGACGGAGGUUUGGCGCGUGCGGGACAAUCGCUCGGAGGACGUUACGGAGCAUUGCGCCGUUAGCUUCGCAGUUCUCGCUCUCAGAUUCGCGGUUGGUCCAGGUGACGUAGAAGACGUGUGUGACAUCGGUUAAAGGGGAAAGCUUGGAUCUUGCGUCGUCAGCGUCGGAGACAUCGCACUGGAUGUAAUCGAUCGGAUGAUCGGCGUUCCAGUUGGGACGAGGACGGCGAGCGACGCCGUAGACUUUCC
RNAcentral lists this long non-coding RNA (4429 nucleotides) under Capsella rubella. RNAcentral's name for it is "long non-coding RNA (CRUB_LNC001403)". The record is from RNAcentral. Lineage: Eukaryota; Viridiplantae; Streptophyta; Magnoliopsida; Brassicales; Brassicaceae.